This 380-nucleotide unclassified non-coding RNA is filed under the name uncultured bacterium. RNAcentral's name for it is "contains 16S-23S intergenic spacer region". The record is from RNAcentral.
UCCGGUUUGUCACCGGCAGUCUCACAUGAGUCCCCAACUAAAUGCUGGCAACAUGCGACGGGGGUUGCGCUCGUUGCAGGACUUAACCCAACAUCUCACGACACGAACUGACGACAGCCAUGCAGCACCUCGGCUGGCUCCCUUGCGGGUCGCCCCAACUUUCAUCGGGACUACUACCAGUCGUUCGAGCCCAGGUAAGGUUCUUCGCGUAGCGUCGAAUUAAACCACAUGCUCCACCGCUUGUGCGGGCCCCCGUCAAUUCCUUUGAGUUUUAACCUUGCGGCCGUACUCCCCAGGCGGAUGACUUAACGCGUUAGCUGCGACACGGGAGGGGUCGAUACCCCCCAUAUCUAGUCAUCAUCGUUUACAGCUAGGAUUAC